This 695-nucleotide ribosomal RNA is filed under the name Klebsiella pneumoniae. RNAcentral's name for it is "partial 23S ribosomal RNA". It matches the Rfam family "Bacterial large subunit ribosomal RNA", at positions 979 to 1676 of the family's 2925-position model. Lineage: Bacteria; Pseudomonadati; Pseudomonadota; Gammaproteobacteria; Enterobacterales; Enterobacteriaceae. The record is from RNAcentral.
GGGAGACACACGGCGGGUGCUAACGUCCGUCGUGAAGAGGGAAACAACCCAGACCGCCAGCUAAGGUCCCAAAGUCAUGGUUAAGUGGGAAACGAUGUGGGAAGGCACAGACAGCCAGGAUGUUGGCUUAGAAGCAGCCAUCAUUUAAAGAAAGCGUAAUAGCUCACUGGUCGAGUCGGCCUGCGCGGAAGAUGUAACGGGGCUAAACCAUGCACCGAAGCUGCGGCAGCGACACUAUGUGUUGUUGGGUAGGGGAGCGUUCUGUAAGCCUGCGAAGGUGUGCUGUGAGGCAUGCUGGAGGUAUCAGAAGUGCGAAUGCUGACAUAAGUAACGAUAAAGCGGGUGAAAAGCCCGCUCGCCGGAAGACCAAGGGUUCCUGUCCAACGUUAAUCGGGGCAGGGUGAGUCGACCCCUAAGGCGAGGCCGAAAGGCGUAGUCGAUGGGAAACAGGUUAAUAUUCCUGUACUUGGUGUUACUGCGAAGGGGGGACGGAGAAGGCUAUGUUAGCCGGGCGACGGUUGUCCCGGUUUAAGCAUGUAGGCUGGUUAUCCAGGCAAAUCCGGAUAAUCAAGGCUGAGGUGUGAUGACGAGGCACUACGGUGCUGAAGUAACAAAUGCCCUGCUUCCAGGAAAAGCCUCUAAGCAUCAGGUAACAUCAAAUCGUACCCCAAACCGACACAGGUGGUCAGGUAGAG